AGCACGUUGCUGUCUAGAGAUAGUCCCAUUAUGCCCUUUGAUUUAAGAAUUGCUGCUACCAUUAGCUACAAGGGAACACUCCCACUUGCUUAUGGAGGAAAUUCUUUCCUUGCUAAGGUUUUGCCAUGGCUCCAUUACUUACUCUCAGCUUCUCAUGAAACACAGCUGUAAUUUGCAGUUGACAAUGAUACUGAUUGCAAAAGAAAGCUGAUGAAAUGUGCACAGGGAUAUGGUUCCCCAUAUAUAGAUGAACAAGUGAACCAACUUCAGCAAUCAGUAACACCUUGUUUGUAGUCUACCUAAAUAUUAGCUGGAAAGAUGCCCCUCUCCCAUUAAUUCUCACUUAUAUCUCAGUGAAUCAAAUAAUCCAACCCAGUGUACAGAGUUAUGAACAACUGGAAAACAUUCACAUUGCACCUUAAGCCCACAGAGCUUUGGGCCCAACAGUAGAUGGAUUAUAAACUGCAGCCUGUGCUCAAAACAGCUUGGUGCACAUAAGCUAAGGUUGCUCACACGGGCAAAAGCUCUCAAGACUUCUUUCUCACAUCUAGCCUUGAUUCUCCCUCCCCACAAGCAAGCCCAAAAAUCCCACAAAGAGAACUAAGGAAUAUUAUGUGCACCCCAAUUUACUUGUUUGAUAUCAUCCUGCCCGACUGCAUGUGGUUAAAGCAAAGAUGGCUGUUAGAGGGAAACAAAUAAAUAGUGAUAAAGGAAUCCGAAGAAUACUGCUCCUCUUCCAGGACUCUGCAUGGCAGCUGCAGUGGUAGUUCCAGUGUCGACCGCUCCUGGGCUUUGCUGAUGGAGGCUUUCUCAUCAAAGGCUUAAAGCUGACUACAACAUUCUGACCAAAUAACAUAC
This is a long non-coding RNA of Mauremys mutica (yellowpond turtle), 858 nucleotides long. RefSeq lists it as uncharacterized. The record is from RefSeq and is a predicted model, not a curated record. Lineage: Eukaryota; Metazoa; Chordata; Testudines; Geoemydidae. The transcript is spliced from 4 exons.